RNA transcript from Zea mays, 1808 nucleotides. It is a transcript of the gene named protein-like pseudogene, with no coding region annotated. The record is from RefSeq and is marked validated. The transcript is spliced from 2 exons. NCBI's taxonomy places the organism in Eukaryota, Viridiplantae, Streptophyta, Magnoliopsida, Poales, Poaceae.
CAGCACCUUUUGCCUACCCCGGCACCACCCCGCCUUUGCCUUGGUGUUGAAAAGUCGCCGCGUUCCUCUUGCCUGAUGAAAUCAAUCCUCUUCUCGUCUAGAUCUGAGCCUCCGCGUGGCUUCCAGAUCAGAUGCUUGGUCCGAUCAACGACGACCUUCAGAGCUGCGACGUUCCGGCUUCCGGGGGAUCUGGAUCUUGGCUGACUGGACAAUUGCGAGGCGUUGACGGGCUUCUAAAGCGUGGCUGGAUUGCUGGAUCUCCUUUCUGCCCCGCGACUCGAUGAUAUCUCUUUGUAUUGGUAAUUAUUGGAUGAAAUUUCGAUAAUUAUUAGAUCGGAGAGAUGUUGGUCGCGGCGGUCCGUGCCUAACUGAAGGCAAGGUAAGGUCCGAGACAAAAGAGGGGAAAAGGAUACAUGAAAAAGAAGUGAGAUGUGACAUCUUGAAGGCCUUUGCCAUGUUGGGUGCGCUCGCAUGGCAGGCAUCGUAAUAAAGAUGUUGGUUUUGUGUGCUGGGUGGGAGAUCGCACAGGGAAUUGUUUUUUUCAUCCCUGGGUUCUCCCGCCCAUUGUGUCCCUGUGCCCUGCUUCGUGUUGUUUGGCUUCUCGUCCUACGCUUCAUCACCGGUGCUGCUGCAAAUUGAACGGCGUUUCUCGUCUCACGGCGUGCUGCAAAUUGAACGGGGCUACAUCGCAACGCAACACACAAGGUACAAACCGGAUCUAAACAUUUUCAAUUUACAGCGAAGUUAGCAAGUUACUGAAAUCACCAUCAAUCGUUCAAAACUCAGCGCGCCACAAACUUCUACGCCUAUACUACGCCAUGCAUAUGCAGUUCAUUCACCCAACGCUUAUCCCGUAAGGCUAUAAAGCACAUGCGAAAGGCGUUCAUUCACUCUGUAAGGCGUUCUUGUUCUUCACCCAACGCUUCUCGCACGGGGGUCUUCUAUUGACCAUUGAAGAAAAACAUUUGACUGGAGAUAGCAUCUGGAAUAUAUGAAUCUAGUAUAACGAACUAGGUCUGAAAAUCUGGGCAAUUCCAGAUUCGAUUCUCAUGUGAGAUGAUAAAAACGUCAUAAUUAUCCUGCGUACUAAAAAAUAUUCGCUAGUUGAGUCGUUCCGGCAUAUACAAAAUUAUUAGCUACAGUUGUUCCUGCAUGCGUGUAAUGUCCUUCGGUGAACUUGUCUGUCAUUAUCAUUUAAAAACGUAUCUAGAUGCAUUACGGAAGAUUUUUAGUUUCCUUUGUUAUAUUUGAGAAGUUAUAUAUUGUAUAUACAGAGAGAUGCAGCUGUGUAUUAUUUGCUGUAGCUUCGAUUGCGAGACGCAUGGUUGCAGUCAUUUUAUUGUAGUUAGUUUAUAUGAUACGUCGUUGUCACCGCAUGAAGAUUAACUGCUGUGCCAUAUGAAGACCUCCUGCCUCAUCACGGUGUUUGUAUAUAAGAUCAACUGCAGUGCCUACACGGUGGACGGAGUAUUUGUAUGAUGUGAAGGUCACUAUUCAGCAUCGUCAGUAUGAAAUGGCUAUGGCCUUCAAAGCUUUCUUUCUUGGUCACCGGACAGGGAAGAAAUAUUCUGCUCAAGCUCACAAUUAGAUACAAGACAUAACUCAGAUAAGAGCUUGUUCAACUUGCACUAUAGUUCAUUUGAGUAUUUACCUAUUAUUGAUCUCUUGAGUUGAAGCUAGGUUUCAAGUAUCUCCUAAGGAUUCGUAUAUGUGAAAACCAGGGAUUCUCUUUUUUUUUUGCACUACAAUCUGUGACGUUUUAAUAUUUGAUGACUAGUUGUUCAUGCAUUGCUAUUGUAUUUGCAUAU